This 24-nucleotide microRNA is filed under the name Mus musculus (house mouse). RNAcentral describes it as "mmu-miR-7662-3p". Lineage: Eukaryota; Metazoa; Chordata; Mammalia; Rodentia; Muridae. The record is from miRBase by way of RNAcentral.
UGGAGCCAGGCGGAUCAGCCUUGC